RNAcentral lists this ribosomal RNA (497 nucleotides) under uncultured bacterium. RNAcentral describes it as "partial 16S ribosomal RNA". It matches the Rfam family "Bacterial small subunit ribosomal RNA", at positions 28 to 507 of the family's 1533-position model. The record is from RNAcentral.
GAUGAACGCUGGCGGCGUGCCUAAUACAUGCAAGUCGAGCGAACAGACGAGGAGCUUGCUCCUCUGACGUUAGCGGCGGACGGGUGAGUAACACGUGGAUAACCUACCUAUAAGACUGGGAUAACUUCGGGAAACCGGAGCUAAUACCGGAUAAUAUAUUGAACCGCAUGGUUCAAUAGUGAAAGACGGUUUUGCUGUCACUUAUAGAUGGAUCCGCGCCGCAUUAGCUAGUUGGUAAGGUAACGGCUUACCAAGGCAACGAUGCGUAGCCGACCUGAGAGGGUGAUCGGCCACACUGGAACGGGGACACGGUCCAGACUCCUACGGGAGGCAGCAGUAGGGAAUCUUCCGCAAUGGGCGAAAGCCUGACGGAGCAACGCCGCGUGAGUGAUGAAGGUCUUCGGAUCGUAAAACUCUGUUAUUAGUGAAGAACAAAUGUGUAAGUAACUAUGCACGUCUUGACGGUACCUAAUCAGAAAGCCACGGCUAACUACGUG